GACGAACGCUGGCGGCGUGCUUAACACAUGCAAGUCGAACGGAAAGGCCCUGCUGCCGGGUACUCGAGUGGCGAACGGGUGAGUAACACGUGGGUGAUCUGCCCUGCACUUCGGGAUAAGCCUGGGAAACUGGGUCUAAUACCGGAUAGGAGCCAUUUUUAGUGUGAUGGUUGGAAAGUUUUUUCGGUGUAGGAUGAGCUCGCGGCCUAUCAGCUUGUUGGUGGGGUAAUGGCCUACCAAGGCGGCGACGGGUAGCCGGCCUGAGAGGGUGGACGGCCACAUUGGGACUGAGAUACGGCCCAGACUCCUACGGGAGGCAGCAGUGGGGAAUAUUGCACAAUGGGCGCAAGCCUGAUGCAGCGACGCCGCGUGGGGGAUGACGGCCUUCGGGUUGUAAACUCCUUUCGCUAGGGACGAAGCUUUUUGUGACGGUACCUAGAUAAGAAGCACCGGCUAACUACGUG
Molecule: ribosomal RNA, 464 nt
Filed under: uncultured bacterium
Lineage: Bacteria
Description: partial 16S ribosomal RNA
Rfam family: Bacterial small subunit ribosomal RNA
Source: RNAcentral